GUCCAGACUCCUACGGGAGGCAGCAGUGGGGAAUCUUCCGCAAUGGGCGCAAGCCUGACGGAGCAAUGCCGCGUGAACGAAGAAGGUCUUCGGAUUGUAAAGUUCUGUCCUUAUCGAAGAGAGGGUAUAGAGUGAAAAAUGAUAUACUAGGACGGUAGAUGAGGAGGAAGCCCCGGCUAACUACGUGCCAGCAGCCGCGGUAAUACGUAGGGGGCGAGCGUUGUCCGGAAUCACUGGGCGUAAAGGGCGCGUAGGCGGUAAUAUAAGUCAGAUGUGAAAGGUGGGGGCUCAACCCCUAGAGUGCAACUGAUACUGUAUAACUUGAGUGUGAGAGAGGGAAGCGGAAUUCCUAGUGUAGCGGUGAAAUGCGUAGAUAUCGAGAGGAACACUCGUGGCGAAGGCGGGUUCCUGGACAUUAACUGACGCUGAGGCACGAAGGCCAGGGGAGCGAAAGGGAUUAGAUACCCGCGUAGC
RNAcentral lists this ribosomal RNA (474 nucleotides) under uncultured bacterium. RNAcentral's name for it is "partial 16S ribosomal RNA". It matches the Rfam family "Bacterial small subunit ribosomal RNA", at positions 329 to 794 of the family's 1533-position model. The record is from RNAcentral.